GGGCGUCUAGCUCAGGGGUAGUAGCGCACGCUUCGCAUCCUCGAAUUGCCUGCGUGAGGUCGUGAGUUCGAAUCUUACGUCGUCCA
Transfer RNA from Schizopora paradoxa, 86 nucleotides. It matches the Rfam family "tRNA". Rfam says of the family: Transfer RNA (tRNA) molecules are approximately 80 nucleotides in length. Their secondary structure includes four short double-helical elements and three loops (D, anti-codon, and T loops). Further hydrogen bonds mediate the characteristic L-shaped molecular structure. tRNAs have two regions of fundamental functional importance: the anti-codon, which is responsible for specific mRNA codon recognition, and the 3' end, to which the tRNAs corresponding amino acid is attached (by aminoacyl-tRNA synthetases). tRNAs cope with the degeneracy of the genetic code in two manners: having more than one tRNA (with a specific anti-codon) for a particular amino acid; and 'wobble' base-pairing, i.e. permitting non-standard base-pairing at the 3rd anti-codon position. Lineage: Eukaryota; Fungi; Basidiomycota; Agaricomycetes; Hymenochaetales; Schizoporaceae. The record is from Rfam.